AUACGGAGGGUGCAAGCGUUGUUCGGAAUUACUGGGCGUAAAGCGUGCGUAGGCGGUCCAGCAAGUUGGGAGUGAAAGCCCGAGGCUCAACCUCGGAAUUGCUUCCAAAACUGCUGAACUAGAGUAUGGUAGAGGAGAGUGGAAUUCUUAGUGUAGGGGUGAAAUCCGUAGAUAUUAAGAGGAACACCAGAGGCGAAGGCGACUCUCUGGGCCAUUACUGACGCUAAGGCACGAAAGCGUGGGGAGCGAACGGGAUUAGAAACCCCAGUAGUCC
Molecule: ribosomal RNA, 274 nt
Filed under: uncultured bacterium
Lineage: Bacteria
Description: partial 16S ribosomal RNA
Rfam family: Bacterial small subunit ribosomal RNA
Source: RNAcentral